Molecule: ribosomal RNA, 1450 nt
Filed under: Bacillus sp. (in: firmicutes)
Lineage: Bacteria; Bacillati; Bacillota; Bacilli; Caryophanales; Bacillaceae
Description: bacterial SSU rRNA
Rfam family: Bacterial small subunit ribosomal RNA
Source: RNAcentral
CCGGGGGAGAGCAGGAUACGAAGGAAGCCGACACAGGCGGGGGGGAGCCUGGUUGUCAGGUCAACGGUGGAGGAUGAGUAACAAGUGGGUGAGAUGCCUGUAAAAGUGGGGGAAUUUUGGAAAAAGGGGCUAAUACCGGAUGCUUGAUUGAACCGAAUGGUUCAAUCAAAAAAGGGGGCUCUUACCUACCAAUGACCCAUGGACCCACGGCGCAUUAGCUAGUUGGUGAGGUAACGGCUCACCAAGGCGACAAUUCGUAGCCGACCUGAGAGGGUGAUCGGCCACACUGGGACUGAGACACGGCCCAAACUCCUACGGGAGGCAGCAAUAGGGAAUCUUCCGCAAUGGACGAAAGUCUGACGGAGCAACGCCUCGUGAGUGAUGAAGGUUUUCGGAUCGUAAAACUCUGUUGUUAGGGAAAAACAAGUACCGUUCGAAUAGGGCGGCACCUUGACGGUACCUAACCAGAAAGCCACGGCUAACUACGUGCCAGCAGCCGCGGUAAUACGUAGGUGGCAAGCGUUGUCCGGAAUUAUUGGGCGUAAAGCGCGCGCAGGCGGUUUCUUAAGUCUGAUGUGAAAGCCCCCGGCUCAACCGGGGAGGGUCAUUGGAAACUGGGGAACUUGAGUGCAGAAGAGGAGAGUGGAAUUCCACGUGUAGCGGUGAAAUGCGUAGAGAUGUGGAGGAACACCAGUGGCGAAGGCGACUCCCCUGGUCUGUAACUGACGCUGAGGCGCGAAAGCGUGGGGAGCGAACAGGAUUAGAUACCCUGGUAGUCCACGCCGUAAACGAUGAGUGCUAAGUGUUAGAGGCUUUCCGCCCUUUAGUGCUGCAGCAAACGCAUUAAGCACUCCGCCUGGGGAGUACGGUCGCAAGAUUGAAACUCAAAGGAAUUGACGGGGGCCCGCACAAGCGGUGGAGCAUGUGGUUUAAUUCGAAGCAACGGGAAGACCCUUCCCAGGUCUUGACAUCCUAUGACAACCCAAGAGAUAGGGCUUCCCCUUCGGGGGCAGAGUGCCAGGUGGUGCAUGGUGGUCGUCAGCUCGUGUCGUGAGAUGUUGGGUUAAGUCCCGCAACGAGCGCAACCCUUGCUUUUAGUUGCCAGCAUUCAGUUGGGCACUCUAAGGUGACUGCCGGUGACAAACCGGAGGAAGGUGGGGAUGACGUCAAAUCAUCAUGCCCCUUAUGACUUGGGCUACACACGUGCUACAAUGGGCAGAACAAAGGGCAGCGAAGCCGCGAGGCUAAGCCAAUCCCACAAAUCUGUUCUCAGUUCGGAUCGCAGUCUGCAACUCGACUGCGUGAAGUGGAAUCGCUAGUAAUCGCGGAUCAGCAUGCCGCGGUGAAUACGUUCCCGGGCCUGUACACACCGCCCGUCACACCCCGAGAGUGGUAACACCCGAGUCCUUUAUUUGCUCCUGCUGCCAGUACGCGGCGCUUCGGCAACCUU